Non-coding RNA from Oryza sativa Japonica Group (Japanese rice), 2270 nucleotides. Lineage: Eukaryota; Viridiplantae; Streptophyta; Magnoliopsida; Poales; Poaceae. The record is from RefSeq and is a predicted model, not a curated record.
GAUGGAUCCCAUCCCGCACGGCUGCGCAAUUCCCCCACGCAUCGCUGCAUUGGGGCGAGAGGGGAACCGAGCUAGGGUUUCACCUCCCCCGCCCGCCUCCUCCUCCUUACCGCGCGAACCGACCCGACCCCCGCUUCGCCGCUGCCGCAGCCGUGAUGGGGACGGAGCGGAAGCGCAUGGUGAGCCUCUUCGACGUGGUCGAUGAGAGCUCCGUCUCUACCAAGCUCGGCCACGCCGGCACCACCAACAGCACCGCCACCGCCGCGGCCAACCCGUCCAUCAAUUGGUGGACGGGGAGGCCCUACUCGGCAAGGUACCUCGAGAUCCUCUAGAAGCACCGCACGCUCCCCGUGUGGCAGCAGAAGGACGAUUUCCUCGCCGUCCUCCGUGACAACCAGACCCUCAUCCUCGUCGGAGAAACCGGAAGCAGCAAGACCACUCAGUACAGGGGAGCGGUGCUCCGGUAGGCCUCUCAUCGAGUUGUCUGAAUUCCCGGGCCUCCGCUCAUCCGCCACCACGCGUGUUCCAUGGAGCAUGAGCUCCUCUUUAGGGUUUCAGUACGGAGUAGAGUAAGUGUGUUCCGGCCACUGCCGUCAUUGCCUUCCACGGGACAGUCAGCUCCAGCAAGCGGAUAUAGAUCUGCAUUUUCAUCCGCAACAGCGCUUUAUCUGGUCUGACUCUAUUCAUUUUGUUGUCAAUUGGUUGGUUUCGCCAUCGUUUACUCUACAACAGAUGAUUUCCAUGGCCAUUGUUUCAUCCACAGGAAAAUUCAUGGACGGUUUACAAUGUAAAUUUAAUGUUGGGUGGUGUCUUAUCUUGACCAAACUGUGUUUUGAUAUAUAUGGUGCAGUGACUUUGUGAGCAGCUCAGUUUAAUAGAACCAAGUCUUAUAGGUAAGAUGGUUGAUCUCAAUCAUUGUUUCAAAUUGAUUGCCUACAACUCUUUGAAAUAGAAGGUAAAUUAACCAUACACUCGUCUACUAUAUAUGUUUGUGUAUGUCAUAUACUUGAUGAAAUGCUUGAUGGACUUAGCCCGUCGGUAUGCAUUAUUAGUUAAGUACUCAAAACUACACACUGCUGUCACUUAAUUUUAGAUUUCUCAUCACGUUCAGUUACAUAAGAGUCAGGCCUUAAAGGAUAUGGCAGCUAUUAACUGUAUAAUAUUUUGUCCCAAAUGGUUCAGUUCUAGAGCACUUAAAGAUGGCUAUUGCAGGUAUUAUAGGCCAGCACAAAGUUUGUUGGUGUUAUCUCUUUGUUGCUUGCAGUAUACUCAUAUCACAUUGAAGCCAAGUUAUGCUAUGUAUUACGUUGAUUUGGUCAUGAAAUUUUUCUCUCAAUUCAGGAAGCAUUUUUAUCCAACGAUGUAUGCACCUUCUCUGCUAAACAACUAUGCAGUGGAUGUGUUCAUGAUUGUUUUCUUCUGAUCCUAGCACAUUCCCUGAGAUAUCCUUCAAGAAUGAUGACUUCAAAUUCAUCGCGUGCCUUUUUUCCUCUCUCAUAUUUACAUUGUUAUGCCUAGGACAAUAGCUUCAGUUUAACAGUGUACCUCGCUGCUUGAUAAUUGCGAUGGGUAAGAUACUAUCAGUAAAAUGUGAAUCUAUUAUGUCCUUGAGAUUCUUCAUAUGGUUAUCCUCAACUGCUAACUUCUACUCCCUCCGUCCCACAAUAUAAGGGAUUUUGAGUUUUUGCUUGUAACAUUUGAUCACUCGUCUUAUUCAAUUUUUUUUUACAAAUAUAAAAAACGAAAAGUUGUGCUUAUAGUACUGUAGAUAAUAAAGUAAGUCACAAUUAAAAUAAAUAAUAAUUUCAAAAAAUUUUAAAUAAGACGAGUGGUUAAACAUUAUAAGAAAAACUCAAAAUCCCUUAUAUUAUGGGACGGAGGGAGUAUGAUUUAAUCUGUGCGCUGCUGCUUUUCAUGUCUCUGCAAAUGCAGAUGUAUUGAUGUGACCUUCAAUCUCCAUGCAGAGUAUCAUAUCAUGACACACAAGGAUCUUUCGUUGGGUGCUGUGUACAAUUAUUGUUACCGAGGCCUUUGAAGGUAUUACAGUAAUAUAUUGUUACAUCUCCUUCACCGGGCUUCUAUACUAGAGAUCCUCCUAUUACUAUUUUAGUUCUUUUUAAACCAGACAACCUGAUUAGUUAUUCUUACUUAUCUUUUUAUACAAGAUUUUUUUUGACAAAAUUAUAUUUGCACCAUCAGAUGUAAAAUGCCAACUUUGUUCAAGCUCCCCUGAGCCAUAUACCAUAUAUUCAUGUUUUGCUUGAUUUCUA